GUCCGACUUAUUUUAAGUUAGGUGUGUUGAACAACAAAAAUAUACAACAUAAAAAAAAAUAGAGUCCAUACAAAUUGGGUCAGACUACAAGCCAAAACAAAGAUGUAAACCAGCCCAAAAAGUUAAGAAUGGGCCUUACAUACAAAACAAGAUCCAGAAAUAAACAAAUAAAAAAAAUAAAUAUGAAUUUCUUCCUACAAAAGGGGGGAAGAAAAAACGUGCAACACAGAAACCUCCUAUCUCUCUGCAAAACGUGAAAAAAAACUGCACUAGUCGUGGGAGAGGUUAAGUAAAAGUGGCAGGAGUUCAUGGCCUCCAAAUUUCCCCACGUAACAAAUCCUAGAGCUUUCCUAGGAUGCCUAUAAAUAGGCAUCACCUGCAGCAAGAGGGGGAGACAAAAAAAAAGGGGGGGAAACUCUGCAGAAAAUAAGAAGCAACUUUUAGAGAAAAUACCAAAAGCAACAAGGUGAUGCUAGGAAAGAGAGCAAGCUAUUCAACCAUUUUGUGCUUUUGAAUCAAGAUCCAAAAGAAGAACAUUCAUCACCAGGUAUGAAGCAAGUUCUUUUAAAAUUAUUCUUUUUCUCUAGUUUGAUGUUAUGUUGCAAGAAGAACAAAAAAAUUGCGGCAGCAAACACAAAAAUAAAAAGCUGCAAUGAAUGAGGAAAGGGAAACAAGCAAGAGCAUAUAAGACCUUUGCCUCUUUGUUUGGCGUUCUUCACCAAUUAAAUGGAGUUGGAGACUCUAAAUAUCCACCGACUCCCCAGCUGCAGCAGAGAUAAUCUAAGAAUCCCAUGAAUUUCUUCGGGGUGGCCUAGAGCACCCCGUGAAAUUUUAACCAAAGUUUAAAUAGUCUACUCCUUCGCCAGAUUGUCAAGUGCAAUUUCAAAGCUCUAAGCUUAAGUUCCCGAGAAAUAAGACAGCAAGGAGUCAACAUAUACAAAGAUGCAACUCAAGAAAGAGAAAAGAAAUUAUUCUAUUUGGUGUUUUUGUUUUUGCUACCCACGGGUACAAAACAUGGAGGAUGGCUUUGGCUAAAAACUCUACUAAAACCAUUGGGGAUAAAGAGUCCAAGGAAAAGGAAAAGUCGGAAAAGAGGAUGUCUCCCUUUAUAUUUAUAAAGCUCCAGCAAAGUUGAUGAUGUUUGUUCAAGUGUUUCCAAGGUGGACCAAAGUUAAAGCAUGGGACUUCACCAAAAGAAAAAGCAUGGGACAAGUGGCUGUUGUGUUUGGAAAAAUGGUGCAGCUAUAUUUAGGGAAGCAUGCCAUGUAAAACACUCCGAACACCAAACUAUAUUUUCUCAUGGGUACUGACAUUAGCUAUACUCAAAGGUAGCUGUCAUGUUUGAAAAAAGGAGCAGCUAGGUUGGAAGAAACAUGCCGUGUAAAACACUUCAAAUAUCAAACUAUAUUUACUCAUGGAUACUGAGGAAAAAAUGUUAUGGAUGACUAAUGUUGAUAAGAAAGAAAAGCAAGCAGACUACCAUGAGCAUGGCUAUUUUAAAACCACUCACAUGACAUUCAAAUGGAAAAGCAUCGAAGGCAACACACAAAUAGAAAAAAAAAAAAAAAAGAAAUGGGUGCGUUACUACAAAUUUCAGGGGGGGUGGUAAUUCCCACCUUUGGAGCCAUGAAUCAACAAUUGUCUUCAGCAAACUCGGUACUGCAAAUAGUGUGUCCAACAACCAAGCCUGCGACGACUGCACAAAAAAAUUUAUCACGGUUCAGAGCAGCUUCAACCCACACCAAAUCAAGUACAGAAAAUAGAAAACAAAAAAAAAAUGGAAUGACCUGCUGGUUAUUUUCUCCUUUUCGCUCUGAAUUUUCAAUACACAAGAGAAGCAUAAGCAAGAUGGUACAACAAAAAGAAAAGAAAGCCCGUGGCCUGUAUAAAUAGGUCUCUAUGGUUUAAAGGGAAAAGAAGAUAAAUUAGAACAAAUCAAAAGAGUUUGAAUUCCGCCAACCUUACCCAUUCUUACUCUGAAAUCCACGGAUACCCAAUCCAAAUAGAAGUUUGAAAUGCAACGAAGUCCACAGAAGUCCAAAUAUAGCGGAAUAGUCGCUUGCUUCUAGAGGAAAACCACCAGAUUUCAAAGCCAAGGGAAAGAGGAUCGUUGAAGCCAUCUUACUGGGGGGAUGAGGAUGCUAAAUCCUCAAAAUCAUCAAGGAGAGGCACGGCAGGCAUAGAAAAUCAAAGCAUAAAAAAAAAGGAUAAAAGCAAGGGACCUAAAACUUAAAAAGGCAUGCCAAGGGAAAGAGGAUCGUUGAAGCCAUCUUACUGGGGGAUGAGGAUGCUAAAUCCUCAAAAUUAUCAAGGAGAGGCACAGCAGGCACAGAAAAUCAAAGCAUAAAAAAAAAAAAAAGGAUAAAAGCAGGGGAACUAAAUCCUAAAAAGGCAUUUAUAAAAAAUGGUACUUUACCGCUUGCUUUUAUUAAAUAAAGCAAAGACUUGCUUUGCUACUAUACUGCCCAGUUUGUGUCAGGCAUGAGCACAAGAUAGAAUGAGUUUCAAGACAAAGUAAAUGAAGGCAAAUACAAGAAAGAAAGGUUGCUCAUCACGUGG
Molecule: long non-coding RNA, 2559 nt
Filed under: Malus domestica (apple)
Lineage: Eukaryota; Viridiplantae; Streptophyta; Magnoliopsida; Rosales; Rosaceae
Description: long non-coding RNA (MDOM_LNC004286)
Source: RNAcentral